GUGGGGGUCUAUGCGGGAGCCGGGAGCUGGGCCCGGGCUGCCGACGUGUUGCGUGGACGCUGCCAGCAUGAACACGGACCAAGCCCUUCUCCCAGCCUGAGGAUCCAGAGGUGAACAUGGGAGACGUGGUUCUGUCCUCAGAUCAUCCGUCAGAAUGUGCCUUAUCACAGUCUCAGCAAGGGAGUGAGCUCCCCGUCUUGGGAGGUGGCUCCGCUGCUCCAGGCCUCGGUCUGGUCUGUCUUUGGAACCCGCGUGACUGGCCACAGUGCCGCAGGGAGCAGCCUUUGGUGGUUUUCCGGGACCCUGGACAAUUCUCCCAAGACCUCAAUCUUCCCAAGUCCUGGGAUGGAGCCUCUCGUGGAUGGACGGCAAGCCUCCUGGUCGAUGGUCAGCAAAACCAGGACCUGGCUAGGAAGGCCAGCAGCCCACUGUCCCCUUCUG
Molecule: long non-coding RNA, 441 nt
Organism: Molossus molossus (Pallas's mastiff bat)
Lineage: Eukaryota; Metazoa; Chordata; Mammalia; Chiroptera; Molossidae
Exons: 3
Source: RefSeq, a predicted model, not a curated record